GCUGGGCGCGAUAGCGUGUGCCUGUAGUACCAGCUACUCGGGAGGCUGAGGUGGGAGGAUCACUUGAGCCCAGGAGUUCUGGGCUGUAGUGCGCUAUGCUGAUCGAGUGUCCGCACUAAGUUUGGCAUCAUUAUGGUGACCUCCCAGGAGUGGGGGACCACCAGGUUGCCUAAGGAGACGUGAAAUGAACCAGGUUGGAAACGGAGCAGGUCAAAACUCCCGUGCUGAUCAGUAAUGGGAUCGCACCUGUGAAAAGCCACUGCACUCCAGCCUGGGCAACAUAGCGAGAUUCCGUCUCAA
Molecule: unclassified non-coding RNA, 300 nt
Organism: Callithrix jacchus (white-tufted-ear marmoset)
Lineage: Eukaryota; Metazoa; Chordata; Mammalia; Primates; Cebidae
Rfam family: Metazoan signal recognition particle RNA
About the family: The signal recognition particle (SRP) is a universally conserved ribonucleoprotein. It is involved in the co-translational targeting of proteins to membranes.
Source: Ensembl